UACGUAGGUGGCAAGCGUUGUCCGGAAUUAUUGGGCGUAAAGCGCGCGCAGGCGGUCCUUUAAGUCUGAUGUGAAAGCCCACGGCUCAACCGUGGAGGGUCAUUGGAAACAGGGGGACUUGAGUGCAGGAGAGAAGAGUGGAAUUCCACGUGUAGCGGUGAAAUGCGUAGAGAUGUGGAGGAACACCAGUGGCGAAGGCGGCUUCCUGGGCUGUUCUUGACGCUGAGGCGCGAAAGCUAGGGGAGCAAACGGG
This 253-nucleotide ribosomal RNA is filed under the name uncultured bacterium. Its description in RNAcentral is "partial 16S ribosomal RNA". It matches the Rfam family "Bacterial small subunit ribosomal RNA", at positions 524 to 776 of the family's 1533-position model. The record is from RNAcentral.